RNAcentral lists this ribosomal RNA (253 nucleotides) under uncultured bacterium. RNAcentral describes it as "partial 16S ribosomal RNA". It matches the Rfam family "Bacterial small subunit ribosomal RNA", at positions 524 to 776 of the family's 1533-position model. The record is from RNAcentral.
UACGUAGGGUGCAAGCGUUGUCCGGAAUUAUUGGGCGUAAAUGGCUCGUAGGCGGUUUGUCGCGUCGGGAGUGAAAACUCAGGGCUUAACCCUGAGCCUGCUUCCGAUACGGGCAGACUAGAGGUAUGCAGGGGAGAAUGGAAUUCCUGGUGUAGCGGUGAAAUGCGCAGAUAUCAGGAGGAACACCGGUGGCGAAGGCGGUUCUCUGGGCAUUACCUGACGCUGAGGAGCGAAAGUGUGGGGAGCGAACAGG